Molecule: long non-coding RNA, 696 nt
Filed under: Bemisia tabaci
Lineage: Eukaryota; Metazoa; Arthropoda; Insecta; Hemiptera; Aleyrodidae
Description: lncRNA ENSASIAIIG011851
Source: RNAcentral
UAGCUUUCUUUUCUUGAAGACCAUUAAAUGUUGCCAUUGCUGUCUUUUUUCAAAAUUUUGAACAAUUAUUUCAUACUUAAAAGUAAUUUAUUUGUGCUCAGGAUUCAAGAGCGUGACAAACAGGGUUGCACCCUAGUCAUCAGUAGAUGAAGGAUGAUUUUCUCCCCUAGUGGUCGCCUUAGUUAUGUAUUAUCAGGGAGGUUACCUCUACAAAUACAUUGCUUUUUCAUUUUGUAAAUUUCUUUUCACUUUUAGGGCCGGAAGAAAAUGGUUCUCUCCAUGCAAGAGGCGCUUUUGGAAUUUAGUGAGAAAGAUGAUGAGAGACAUGAAGAGAUCUUAAGGAUGUUGACGUUGUUCAGCACUGCAUCAAAGAAAGCUCGUCUUGCACAGAGAGAAUUGUCCAGUGCUAUCACUGAGGAUAUCAAGGCAUGUGAACCAAACUUUGCCGAAGUCAUGAGCGUCUUGAACAAGGUUGAAGACAAUCUGAAGCUUCAGCAAGACUCAACUGUCGAAAAGUUGCAAUCUUGGAAGAAUUCGGAAAGUGAGCGGUUGACUGCUAUCAUUGGGAGUGUUGAAAACCUAUCAUCAGUUUCGAAAGAAUCUCAGAAAAGUUUUGACUCUUGGAGUGCUGGUUUUAAUGAAGGUUUGGUCGAAAGCGACACCAAGGAAGAACAACGUGAAAAAUAGCAAGAAGAG